CUGAGUGUGGAUAAGGGGAAGGUCCAUGCUGGGUGUGUAUGGGUCGUGCCACUCAAAGGGUGGAUAGCCUGGAUGGAUAUAAAGGGACAGAAAGAAGGCAGGCAUGCUGCUGCUUCUUUGCUACUUUGCUGCCUUCUGCUUGCCAUGAUCUAUUUCUUCUCUGCAGUGCUGUUCUGCCGUGCCGCCCUGCCUUGGGGACAGCCAACUACGAACCGAAACCUCUACGAACUGAGCUACAGUAAGCCUUUCCUCCUUUAGCUUCAGAUGUUAGGUAUUUUGUCUCAGCAACACAAAAGUAACUGAGAUGCUUUCUUUCCUGGGAAGCUCUAAGUUUUACCAAUGCUCCACACACAGGUGAUGGUUUACCUGAGCCCACACAGGUGUUCGCUGAAGGGAUGGAUCCAGUGCUUUCUGCUAACCACUGUUCAACGGCAUCAUGUUUGGGUAUCUCGUUGACCUUUCUCUCAAGCUGUUAUUCUCAGGUGCAAUAAAACUCCUAAGGACACAAUCAAUGCAACAGAUUUCUAAAGGACCAUACAUCUCCAAGAGUGUCUGUCAUCCGUGGACGUCAGCACAAGGAGCAACUAUUCUAUUGUGCUUUGAGGAAUUUUUUAAGAACUUAAACCAUUUAGGAAUUAGGAAAACUACAUCAUUUGUUUUCCAUCUGUCUACAUCAACUGAGGCCAGGGUCAGGGAGAAAGCAGAAAGGAGUCCUUGA
Molecule: long non-coding RNA, 718 nt
Filed under: Fukomys damarensis (Damara mole-rat)
Lineage: Eukaryota; Metazoa; Chordata; Mammalia; Rodentia; Bathyergidae
Description: lncRNA (ENSFDAG00000029399.1)
Source: RNAcentral